This 1098-nucleotide small RNA is filed under the name Caenorhabditis elegans. Its description in RNAcentral is "Unclassified non-coding RNA ZC518.9". Lineage: Eukaryota; Metazoa; Nematoda; Chromadorea; Rhabditida; Rhabditidae. The record is from RNAcentral.
GUGAUGUAAUGUCAUCAGGAGAUAUGACAUCGGAGUACAAGGACAAACAAGGCGGAGGAGCUGGCCAGCCACUCACAAAGUCUGAAAACAACGAUGGAAAAAAGACGUUAACCAAUGGAAUGAGUCGAGUACAUCGAGUGUUAACUGAAGACGAAAUUGCCAGUGGGAGAUCAACACGGUGGACAGAACUUGAAAUACACGGUAAUCAUUUUUGAAAAUUGUUUCAAUUUUUAUUCGAGAUAUUUCCAGGUCGUGUGAAGAAUCUAUCACCGUCACUGUGGCAGUUGACACAUCUUUCAGCUCUUUUUCUUAACAACAAUGGACUGACACGGUUACCACCGGAGAUUGCUCAGGUAUCCGAUUAGUGUGGAAAUUAUCUCCGGCGGUGGCACUUAUUUUCAUCGAUUCUACAAAAUGAUCUAAACUUUGAUGCUCCAACAUUUUUCAUUCAAAAUUAGUGUCAAAAGAUAGAAAAUCAUUCAGUUUAUCUGAAAAUAAUAUUUAUUUCACCUGAAACAUUUAUGAAAAUGCUCAAGAAUUACCUGAAAGUGGCAAAUUACCGGAAAAAAAUUCGAUGAAUCGAUACGACCAUUUUGAUUAAUUUCCUGAAUGUUCCAGCAGAAAUUUUUUUUUUCAGAAAAAAAUUUUUUUUUUUAAAUAUUUUGACACUAAUUUCAAAUAAAAAUUGUUGGAGAACAUGGGGCAGUAGGACAUUUUGUAGAAUUGCAAAAAAAAAGAUUACCAAAAAACAAAUCAGCAUAAUAAAUAUUAUAUUCUUUUAUUCUUCAUCUAAAAUCUUCUUGAAAAAUCCAAUUUCAUACCAAAAACCCAUUUUUCAGUUGACAAAUCUGACAAUGCUCGACAUAUCGAACAACAAGCUCCGCUCACUUCCCACAGAACUUGGUGAUAUGAUCAGUCUUUGUCAUCUGUACCUGAACAAUAAUCAACUCCGUGUGCUGCCCUAUGAGCUGGGAAAGCUUUUCCGGAUUCAGACGCUCGGUCUGCAAGGAAAUCCUUUGUCGCCGGAAAUCAGCAAGAUCUAUCACGAGACCAACGGUGCGCAAAAGAUAUUGCAAUUUCUACUCGAUCACCUGACUA